Equus caballus (horse) is the source of this 956-nucleotide non-coding RNA. The record is from RefSeq and is a predicted model, not a curated record. Lineage: Eukaryota; Metazoa; Chordata; Mammalia; Perissodactyla; Equidae.
CCUAAGCUUGAGCACUUAGUGAGUGUGGUCACCCCAGAUCUCUCAUUUUCACCUUUUGCGAUUGUUAAUUAACGUGGAGGGUCGUGCCUUGGUGCUGUGAAAAUAUACUGCUUAUCAAUAACCUUUUACCUAACGAUUUUAGCAUUUGUUGAUGAUCCUUGCCUGAAUCAAUUAUUACAGUGGGAAUUAGAAAAAGGAAAGCUGACUGCACAUCGACAGUGUAUGAGCCUGGAGAGGGUUCUCUCUCUUGUAGGAGAGGGGAACCACAUCUAAACAGUCAUGGCUGCAGAGAAGGAAUGUUCACAUUCAGGGUCUGGAACCUGCGGAAAAGUGAGCAAAAAUACUUUUUGAAUGAAGGAAACCACCUAUAUCUGCUCAAGCAAUACAGACAUUUAUUUUCAGUUUCCCCUUUCAAAGGAAAAAUGCCAGAUCCAUGAUAUCUUUCUUAAUAAAAAGAUUCCUGACAUAAAUGGUCCCUCUCCUGUAUUUUUCCUAGAAUGCUAAUUUGACAUUUGCGCCAAAGGUAAAUCAGUUUGUCUGGCUAUGGAGGGGAGGAAGUUGUCACUCCUGAUUGAUAACGAUGCACUGGAGUCUAAUCCCCAGCAAUUUGUGGCAUUUCCCAUCUGUUCCGAAUAUCACUCCAUUCUACUCUUAGCAUUAAAAUAUCCAAAUGUUCUGGAGACGUUUUUAAAGGAAGAGUUUGUUUCUACUGACAUACCCAAACUGGAGAAAUGAUUUUUUAAAAAAUUACAGUGAUUGAAACACACACACACUCCAGCACCAUUUCGUGUUACACUAAGGUACUCCUGGCAGAGUUUCUUGCUGAUGAUUUUAGCCACAGUCUGAGUAAUGUCUGCUUGCCUGCACGUUGUAAAGUGAUCUCCCUUUAUUAGAUGAAGUCUUGAAUGAAGGGUGGCGGGUACUGUGUCUUCUUAGUUCAAUAGCCCCUGUCUUUC